AAGUCGUAACAAGGUUUCCGUAGGUGAACCUGCGGAAGGAUCAUUAUUGAAACUUGAAUCGUAGCAUUGAGAACUGUUGCUGACCUAUUAAAGGGUAUGUGCACGUUCGACGUGUUGCGUUCUAUUCAUCCACCUGUGCACCUUUGUAGACUUGAUUAACUUUCGCUCUUGAGCGGUUAGAAGGGUUGCUUUCGAGCUCCCUUUGUCUAUCAAGUCUAUGUCUAUAUAAUCUCUUGUAUGUCUAGAAUGUCUUGUUUAUGGGACGCAAGUCCUUUAAAUCUUAUACAACUUUCAACAACGGAUCUCUUGGCUCUC
Molecule: unclassified non-coding RNA, 315 nt
Filed under: Armillaria sp.
Lineage: Eukaryota; Fungi; Basidiomycota; Agaricomycetes; Agaricales; Physalacriaceae
Description: partial internal transcribed spacer region
Rfam family: Eukaryotic small subunit ribosomal RNA (bases 1-46)
Source: RNAcentral